AUUGAACGCUGGCGGCAUGCCUUACACAUGCAAGUCGAACGGCAGCACGGGAGCAAUCCUGGUGGCGAGUGGCGAACGGGUGAGUAAAGUAUCGGAACGUGCCCAGUCGUGGGGGAUAACGUAGCGAAAGUUACGCUAAUACCGCAUACGAUCUAUGGAUGAAAGCGGGGGAUCGCAAGACCUCGCGCGAUUGGAGCGGCCGAUAUCAGAUUAGGUAGUUGGUGGGGUAAAGGCCCACCAAGCCGACGAUCCGUAGCUGGUCUGAGAGGACGACCAGCCACACUGGGACUGAGACACGACCCAGACUCCUACGGGAGGCAGCAGUGGGGAAUUUUGGACAAUGGGCGAAAGCCUGAUCCAGCUAUGCCGCGUGCAGGAUGAAGGCCUUCGGGUUGUAAACUGCUUUUGUACGGAACGAAAAGGACUGCCCUAAUACGGUGGUCCCAUGACGGUACCGUAAGAAUAAGCACCGGCUAACUACGUGCCAGCCGCCGCCGUAA
RNAcentral lists this ribosomal RNA (500 nucleotides) under uncultured bacterium. RNAcentral describes it as "partial 16S ribosomal RNA". It matches the Rfam family "Bacterial small subunit ribosomal RNA", at positions 30 to 523 of the family's 1533-position model. The record is from RNAcentral.